AAAUUAAUUAAUUAAAGUCUAUUAGAAGAAAUUAUGUUUGUUUUGUGCGCAUGCGCGUUAUGUCCCUUUGCCUCGGCGCCAAAGCCCACAGGAGUUUUUGCUCUUCAGAAUCCAGUCAGAUUGAAGGAAGACGCCAGACCCGGAUCUUUGUACAUCCAUUUGCACAGUACUGUACAACAAGUUUCCUUUGCUGAGUUCCUUGGUCAGGGGUUUAAAUACAUUUGCUGUCCAGUACUGCAGUUGGAAUUUUCCAUCAAUUGUUUAUGGGCAACCAAAAAGAAGAAUUUUUGCAGGACCUGACAAACAUUGCCAUGGCCAUAUGUGUCAUCAAAAAGGAAGGAGGAGAUUUUGGAGAUUAUGACGACAUUGGCAUCGUUGUUGAUGGAACAGUGAUUCUUGAACAGAUAAAAUAUGUUGCACAAGCCUGUGCACUGAUGUUGGGGGCAAUUUAUGUGCUUGAUUUGGCUUACCCAAAAGAGCUCAAAUACUAUUACGAGUUUGCCCAAAAAGUACUCAUGCAAAUGAACUCUGACAAGCUCUCCUCAAAGGUUCUCAUACUGAAAAACAGUGUGAUACUGUAAU
This is a long non-coding RNA of Danio aesculapii, 582 nucleotides long. RefSeq lists it as uncharacterized. The record is from RefSeq and is a predicted model, not a curated record. The transcript has 3 exons. Lineage: Eukaryota; Metazoa; Chordata; Actinopteri; Cypriniformes; Danionidae.